AUUAGAACUCAUUGCUGAGGACAUUUACAGCAGAUAUCAUUGCUGAAGAAAUCAGAGUAGGACAGCAAACUUGGUUUUCACCAAGCCAUGGAUAACAUCAAAGACAAAUUUGCUAAAAUUCUUCAUUAUCGUCUCAUCACCAGGAAGAUCAGAACCAAUUCGAUGCAACCGGGGCAGAAAUCGCACUCCCUUGAGGAAGGGGGAGGACGUCAAACGCCAAAAGAAAAUUUUCCGGGAAAGCAAGACUAUUUAAAAAGAAAAUGCAAGGCGGUGGACCCGGAUAAAGCCCAGGAAACUGCGCCGAAUCACGGACGAGCUGGACCAAGUACCACCACGGACCUGGAGGAUGUUGUAGUCAUCCAUGGCAGAGAGGAUGAUUCCGGAGUUUAAAAAAACCCCAUUGAAACCAUCAUAUCAAAAAGAUUGGACACAUCUGAAGGUAGCCACGUCUCCUUUAAUAAGUCUGCUACAUGAAAUAAUCAGCAUAGUGUACCACAUUUGUCUGAUUCAGAUGAUGCAAUUUCCCCCUCAUGUUCAUCUCAGUCAAUUACAAGUAUUCAUGAUGACAUAAGUAUGCAUGUACCCCAGUCAGUAAAACAAAAGUUAAUGAAUGGGGAAUUUGUUGAAUUUCAUACCCUUUUGAAUAAGCAAAAUGAUUUAGAAGCUCAAGAAAAUAAGGUCUUAUUCAUGAAUGGGUAAUUUACAUUGAAACCUACAAAAGUGAUCAAAAUUACAACAAUUGAUGCUUGGGUGGGUGCUUUUUUCAUUUUCAUGAGUAUUUAUUUGUCAGCACAUAUUGAUGAAACUCACAAUCUAAUCAAAUAUAUAGCAAAUGUUAAACUCGGCGCCAGUCGUGUUUCCGGCGGAUUGGGUUGGAGAGAUUAUGACCGCCAGUUUCGUGGAAAAAAACCGGUUACCUUAUCACCUAUUGGGGUGGUUGCAAAAAAAGAUGGUGUUUGGCGUUUAAAUCCAUCAUUUUUCACAUCCUGCUGAUUUCAUUGUAAACGAUUUUAUAGAUCCGGGAGCAUGUUCUGUACAUUAUACUUCUUUUGAUGAGGUUUUAAAAAUGGUUGGGUCACUAGGUAAGGGUGCUGUAUUUGGAAAAAUGGAUGUAAAGUCAGCAUUUAGAUUGCUACCAGUUCACCCUUCAGAUAACCAAUUACUUGGUUUUAAAUUCAAUAAUUUUCACUACUAUGAUCUGUGCUUACCAAUGGGAUGUUCAAUUAGUUGGGGAAAAAUUUGCACAUUUUGUUCGGUGAAGUGAAAACUGGAGUUCACACUCUGAAUCAUUACCUAGACGAUUUUAUAUUUGCAGGAGACACCUCUGAAAUAUGUAAAUUGUUGAUGUCUUCAUUUAGAAAAACAUGUUUUGAAUUUGGUAUUCCCUUAGCGGAAGAUAAAACAGAGGGUCCUAAAACUGUUAUUACGUUCUUAAGUAUUGAAAUAGAAACAGAUACUAGUAAUAUGAUUAUUAGAAUUCCUAAUGACAAAAUACUGACUUUACUGUUUCAGCAAUCUUAGAAAUGUUACAAAAAGAAAAAAGUUACUCUUGGAAAGUUACAAUCACUAGUAGGUUCUCUUAACUUUUGUGCAAAAGCAAUUCCAUCAGCUAGAGCAUUCAAUAGAAGAUUUUGUGAUGCUAUGUGCGGAAUUAAGCACUCCAGUCAUUUAUUAUAGUAACGUCUGGGAUGAGAUCAGAUCUUUGUGUGUGGCUAGAUUUUAUACACAAGUACAACGGUAGCUUAAAUUUCAUGAAUGCCAAUUGGUUAUCAAAUGACCAACUACAUCUUUAUACUGAUAGCGCAGGCAAUCAUCAGUUGGGUUGUGGUGUCUACUUCAAUGGUCAGUGGGCUUAUUUUGAAUGGCCCGCCUGCUGGAAAGACCUCAGAUAUAACUUUUUUAGAAUUAGUGCAAUUGUUCUUGCAGUUUUUUUUUUUGUUUUUUUUUAUAUAUAUAUUUUGAAAUUUAUAUACAUGCAUACACAAAUAUACAUGUAUAUGGAAAAGGAAAAAAAAUAGUAAUACAAUCACAAUUGGUCUGCUAGUGUUUUCAAAAUUUUGUAACUGGAUUUGACACUUUUUGCACUCACUGUAAUAAAGUAAUAAGAGAUGUUUUUAGAACAUUUAAAAGCGCAUUCUCAUUUGGAAUUUCGUUUUGUAGUGUACACUUCAUUUUAUAUUUAUAUAUCUUAUACCCUACAAAAGAUAUGACAGUAUUGAGAAUUUUCGUUGCGUCUGAAAACUUAUAGAAAAAACCUACAGCAAUUGUUUUCCAUGUUAUAUUCAACUUUAAUAUCCUGAUACUUUUUCCCAUAUUCUUUUUGUUUCAGAACAUCCAUACAUUAAAUGUCUAUAUUUUCAAUUUGUUCACAACUUACAUAAUUUUUUCGAACAUCUUUAUUCCAUUUAUUUACGUUAUAAUUGCAGUUCAGCUGAUUGUGUAGAAGUUUAUAGUUAAGUUCUGCUAUUUGCUUAUCAAAUGCGUUUAUUAUCUUAGCCGUGUAUAUAUUUUUCCACUGAUCAUUGGGUAUAUUGAAUUCUUUUGACCAUUUUGCUUCCAUUAUUGGUUUUUGUGUCUUUUUUUAUAAUAAAAUUUUAUAAUAGAAUCCCGAUUUCUCAUGUUCCGGUUGUUUUAUUUUUCCGCAGAAAUGAAAGUAUGGAUUUUGAAUGUUAGUAUUGUUUACAUUUGAAUAAUCUACAUUCAACUUUCUAAUAGCGUUUUUUAUGAUAAGAUAUUCACAUAUAUAGUUUCUUUUUGAUUUAAGAUUUUCUGUAAUAUCAUUUAAAUCUUUUAUACCAUCUAUUGUAAACAUAUCUUUAACAUAUAGGAUACCACUUUUUAUCCA
Magallana angulata is the source of this 2845-nucleotide long non-coding RNA. RefSeq lists it as uncharacterized. Lineage: Eukaryota; Metazoa; Mollusca; Bivalvia; Ostreida; Ostreidae. The transcript is spliced from 3 exons. The record is from RefSeq and is a predicted model, not a curated record.